UUGGCGAACGGGUGAGUAACGCGUGAGUAACCUGCCCUGGAGUGGGGGACAACAGUUGGAAACGACUGCUAAUACCGCAUAAGCCCACGAUCCGGCAUCGGAUUGAGGGAAAAGGAUUUAUUCGCUUCAGGAUGGACUCGCGUCCAAUUAGCUAGUUGGUGAGGUAACGGCCCACCAAGGCGACGAUUGGUAGCCGGACUGAGAGGUUGAACGGCCACAUUGGGACUGAGACACGGCCCAG
RNAcentral lists this ribosomal RNA (241 nucleotides) under uncultured bacterium. RNAcentral's name for it is "partial 16S ribosomal RNA". It matches the Rfam family "Bacterial small subunit ribosomal RNA", at positions 95 to 334 of the family's 1533-position model. The record is from RNAcentral.